This 225-nucleotide long non-coding RNA is filed under the name Elaeis guineensis (African oil palm). RNAcentral describes it as "long non-coding RNA (EGUI_LNC030011)". Lineage: Eukaryota; Viridiplantae; Streptophyta; Magnoliopsida; Arecales; Arecaceae. The record is from RNAcentral.
CAUGUGAUAACCAUGAUAGGAUAUUUUUAACAACAAUGGGAUGGCAUACAUGAUCUGAACAAGGACACCUAAUUUACUGCAAUAGUAUAUAAUAAAAGUACAGUAAUGACGAAAGCUAAAAUUGGAGGGACAGACUUUAAUUUGAUAUGGUUGACGCCUGUAAGGAGCACUGCAAGCUGAUUCGCAGAAAAGUAAUCUUAAGAAAUUCCACUUGAAGUUGGGACC